AUGUAAAAUUUAAAAGGUCGAACAGACCUAACUAGUUAACUUCUCCACCAACUAUAAAUUUUAAUCCAACAUCGAGGUCGCAAUCCCUUUUCUUGAUAAGAACUCUAAAAAAGAUUACGCUGUUAUCCCUAAGGUAAUUCAAUCUUUUAAUCUAAAACUCAGGAUCAUAAUUUCAAAAAUAAAUGUUUAAAUAUAAAAAAAGUUUUUUUAAUUUUUCUAUCACCCCAACAAAAUACUUACAAACAAAGUCAAUUUUUUUUACUUUAAAUUUAACCAAACCUAUAAAUAUAAAACUCUAUAGGGUCUUCUCGUCUUCCACAAAAAUUUAAGCUUUUUCACUUAAAAAUAAAAUUCAAAUAAAUUUCAAAAGAGACAGAAAUUCUUUCAUCAAACCUUUCAUACAAGCUUUCAAUUAAAAAACUAGUGAUUAUGCUACCUUUGCACGGUCAAAAUACCGCGGCCAUUUAAUUUUUUCAUU
RNAcentral lists this ribosomal RNA (478 nucleotides) under Trigonopterus tibialis. Its description in RNAcentral is "partial 16S ribosomal RNA". Lineage: Eukaryota; Metazoa; Arthropoda; Insecta; Coleoptera; Curculionidae. The record is from RNAcentral.